This 281-nucleotide unclassified non-coding RNA is filed under the name Hevea brasiliensis (rubber tree). The record is from RNAcentral. Lineage: Eukaryota; Viridiplantae; Streptophyta; Magnoliopsida; Malpighiales; Euphorbiaceae.
GUUCUAACAUAAUCAGUUAUGAUUGCGUUUCUCUGGAGAAGAACACUACAAAUGCCAGUUCCUACUUGUGUGUUUUCACUGCUAAACUCCACAAUCCAACUUGGUUGUAUUCAAAAUGGCUUAUUAUUCACUGCUAGAUCUCUGUCAACAUCUUUGAAACCUGUGGACCAUGAACAUAAGAAAUACUCUUAUACAGUUUCUUAUCUUGCACACUCAUUUGGGUUUUCCCUGGAAUCUGCAGAAUCUAUAUCUAAGAAAGUAAAAUUUGAAUCCCCUGAUAA